GAAAGCCAAGGCGUUAACAAGAGAAACCACCCACUUCCUCGACUCUCUCUUCCUCCUCACCACAAUCUCAACCUUUCUCACUUCCUCGAUCUGAUUUGAACCCUGAGUUUGAAAUUCUUUCUCUCACCCUUUAUCAUCUUCUUCCUACUCUUCUGUCGCGAUUACUUGGAUGCUUCCUACCACUUGGUCUCUGUUUCUCUCAAUUAUCUAUAUAAACCCUAGUUUGGAUUUCGAUUUUGACUAGUCAAUAGAAUCUGUUUAUUUGGAGCAAGCUGGGGUGUUUUCUCGGUUUCUCUCGGCUGUUAGGGGUUGCAACCUUGGUUGAAAGGUUAGAUAAUCUGAAUUCCAUCUAUUCAAGGCUUUGAUUUCUCUACAAUUUGAUUCUGUUAAAACUAAAUUUUUACAAAAAAGAAGAAAACGAGAAUUUUUAUUGUUAUUCAUAUCACAGUGUUAGGAAUUAGAAUGAAAUUGGGUAAUCCAAGAUUGAAAAUGGUUUACGACUAGUUUGCUUAUUAAUAAUUUUCACUUUAUCGAAGGGAAAGAUUACAUAGUGGAGUCAGGUUAUGAAAAAUUAAUCACAAUCCUGACUUUUCGUAAUGAAAUUGAAAAAGCCAUGUAAUGCUACACUGUAAGAACAAGGACCCAGUCACACAUCAGGUCCUGAUCGGCACCUAUGGUCUCCGUUUCAUGCGUAGACCCAAAUCCAGUUUCAUGUGAGACUUUACCGUCUACCUACUGCACCGCCCCCGGCUCCCAAACCACUCUCCCGCAGUUUUAGCCAUUCAAUUAGUUUCAAAAUAUUUUUUUAGGUUAGUAGGAAGGAGAGAUUUGCUAAAAUCUAAAACAAUUUGUAUGGUUAUUUGUUUGAUUUGCUAUUUAAAAUUGAAAGAUUGAUACCAUAUUCUAAGAAAAAUUGGGUCUAAGGAUUGAGAGACAGAGGAUAACGAUAACAAAAAAUAAAUUGAUGUGUUAUUAGGUUUAUGUUUGAAGAAGACAACAUAAUAUUCCACCACUCCUUAAAAGUACAUGUCAAAGUUACAGUAGGAUUGUUGUUACAAAGCUUUAUUUAUUUUUGAUAAAAGUAGUAUAUGUAUUACUAAAGAAAAAUCAGGCUUACAAUAUCUGAUCAGAAUGCAAGGACUGCAUCAUCAGAUUACAUCCCAAAAGACAUUUCCUUGUUAUAUACAGAGUCCCAUUCCCAACCCCACCUUUACAUACCAUGUGUACACAUACAAGCAAAGCUGCAAAUAAAAAGAAAGCCCAGGAAACACUCUAACCAAACCUGCAGAAUGCUUGUACUGCUGCUGGGAGCUUUUGGACUGCUGCUGCUUGUGGCGCCAGGUAACUCUCUUGCUCCCUAUGUACUGUCGCUGCUGAGAGACCCAACAGAUAUAUAGCCAUAGUCUUUCAGACCUCCCCUUUAGCAAACUUCCAGGCCUUGUCUAUGUUGUAGUUUGUUGGACCAUUUUAUUCUCACAUAAUAAUUUGUUUCUGGAUAUGACACUUCAUCUAGGUUUACUUUGACAACAUAAGAAACUUCCAAGUAAAAUUCAGUGAGUUCUUCGAGAAUGGAUUCAUCUCUGAGAUUGAAGUUUGGAUUAGGUCCUUGUGGAAAGUUGCGAUUGAAGAUAUCCUGACAUUGGAGAGCUCCAGGUAGCCAGCUUUUAUUAAGUAAUUUGCAUUAAUUAAGUACUUUAGUUUUUUCACUUUUUCUGCAAUAUUCCUUGGGCUUUAACUGUUGGCAACAGUAUGUGUCUUUAACUGUUGGCAUUUUUGGAUAUGUUUUCAGUUAUUGAUUUGUGGUGGAUUCAUACUUCCUAGUUGUUAUAUGUGGGUAUGUUACUGUGAGAAAUUUUGUCUUUUUGUUUUAUUUGCGUAGACCUAAUAUGCUAUUGCACAUACUGGUCAGAUCAUUCUCACUGUCAGCCAUGUGGCCGCCUCCAUGAAUCUAAUGGCAUCACCAAGGCUUAUGGGACCAGCGUACUAUAUAGAGGUAUGUGUUUUAUAAAGAUAUUACAUGAAACUUGUACUUGAAUUGUAUUUUUUCACUCAAAUUGGGAGAUUGUCAAACAUUGCAUGUGGCGUGUCAGAUACAAAUCCUUAUUAACUGUAUAUCUGUCGUUUCCAGUGUGAUCCCAUUGUCGAGGUCAUGUAACAGCUGAUGUUGCUGAAGCGGGUACCCCAUCUUAUAUUAGUAAGGUUAGCGACAAAAUUAAACUGCACACGCUCUUUAUUAUUAGAUGAAUGCUUGUAAUUAUAUACCUAUAGCACGACAUUAAGUUUUUUUGACGUGCAAUUUUCUCAAUUUUGAAUUGAGUCCCCAGUUUUUUUUCGUACAAUUUUCUCAAUGUUGAAUUGAGUCACCAGAUUGUGUAAUCCAUUUUUUGGAACUAUUCAGUUAUAUGAAACCUAGGCAAGAGUUGAAAUAUUUUUAAGUCAAAAACAAAAGUUGCAAUUAUGGGUGCUGCUAACAAGGAAAGUAUAAUGAACUUAUCUGCCACAUAGUUUUCAAUCUUAAUCUUGUUUAUUAUUGAAUACGGUGGAUUAAUAGGUCGUUUAAGGAUCUUUUUUUUUUUUAAUUAGUAUCAUGUUUCCUCUAUAAUAUUUAUUGUUUUAUAUUGUAGGUCAUAGAGAACAAGCCAUAUGAUCACGACAAGGAUGUCUUUAAUUAGUUUCAGAAUGUCUUAUGGGUGCUGAUGAUUGGGAAGGUAAGUCUUUUGGGAUUCAUUUUGGACAUGAACUGAUUGGAUAU
Molecule: long non-coding RNA, 2752 nt
Filed under: Aquilegia coerulea
Lineage: Eukaryota; Viridiplantae; Streptophyta; Magnoliopsida; Ranunculales; Ranunculaceae
Description: long non-coding RNA (ACOE_LNC001203)
Source: RNAcentral